Molecule: ribosomal RNA, 377 nt
Filed under: uncultured bacterium
Lineage: Bacteria
Description: bacterial SSU rRNA
Rfam family: Bacterial small subunit ribosomal RNA
Source: RNAcentral
AUACGUAGGUGGCGAGCGUUGUCCGGAAUUACUGGGCGUAAAGGGCGCGCAGGCGGGCAUUUAAGUCAGAUGUGUAAUCUACAGGCUUAACCUGUAGUUUGGAUCUGAUACUGGAUGUCUUGAGUGCAGGAGAGGACAGUGGAAUUCCUAGUGUAGCGGUGAAAUGCGUAGAUAUUAGGAGGAACACCAGUGGCGAAGGCGACUGUCUGGACUGUAACUGACGCUGAGGCGCGAAAGCGUGGGUAGCGAACAGGAUUAGAUACCCUGGUAGUCCACGCCGUAAACGAUGGGUACUAGGUGUAGGAGGUAUCGACCCCUUCUGUGCCGGAGUUAACACAAUAAGUACCCCGCCUGGGGACUACGGCCGCAAGGCUAAA